RNAcentral lists this small nuclear RNA (110 nucleotides) under Myotis brandtii (Brandt's bat). The record is from RNAcentral. Lineage: Eukaryota; Metazoa; Chordata; Mammalia; Chiroptera; Vespertilionidae.
GUGCUUGCUUCAGCAGCACAUAUACUAAAACUGGAACUAUAUAGAGAAGAUUAUUAGCAUGGCCCUUGUGCAAGGAUGACAUGCAAAUUCGUGAAGCUUUCCAUAUUUAA